RNAcentral lists this ribosomal RNA (253 nucleotides) under uncultured bacterium. Its description in RNAcentral is "partial 16S ribosomal RNA". It matches the Rfam family "Bacterial small subunit ribosomal RNA", at positions 524 to 776 of the family's 1533-position model. RNAcentral also lists the same sequence under 2 other names. The record is from RNAcentral.
GACGAGUCUCACGAACGUUAUUCGGAAUUACUGGGCUUAAAGGGUGCGUAGGCGGUGGAGUAAGUCGGAUGUGAAAUACCUUAGCUUAACUAGGGAACUGCACUCGAUACUACUUUGCUAGAGUAAGACAGAGGUGAGUGGAACUGAGGGUGGAGCGGUGAAAUGCGUUGAUAUCCUCAGGAACACCGGUGGCGAAGGCGACUCACUGGGUCUUUACUGACGCUGAUGCACGAAAGCUAGGGUAGCAAACGGG